UCAUAUCAUCAUGUUGUAAGAGAGAUGGGAAGAUAAAUAAGAUACACCUCCUGCUUUUUGAGAGCAGAUAGCACACACAAAAUAUGAAAUAGCAAUAUGAGAGACAACCCAUGGCCACACCCAAGGCUCCUUUUUACCAAAGCCAGAAAUAUAAAAAUGAAGGGGUUGCCUCUUGUAAUUUGAAAAAAGUAGUUUUGCAUAACAAAAAGAAACUAUUUUGUUUACAAUGAAUAGUAAAGUUAAAAAAUGUAAGGAAAUAUGGGACAGAUUUAAAAAUAUGAGCAGAUGCUGAUGGAUCUAGAAAUACAGAUGUAAGAUUUAUCACAGGUUAUUAGAUUUAUUAUAGAUCUGUGAAAGAUUACACAAUCUUCCCAAACUCUUCCAGCCCACACAAUGGAGACCAAUGCCAGAGGCCAAGCAAUUCCAGUUUUCUUAUGUAAUCAUGAUUGUACACAGAGGACGAGACUUAGCUGAACCAAGAGAGUUUAUGCUAAACACCCUCGCUAACCAUUGAGAGAAAUCAUUCCUUGGGAAAAGAGUGAGCAUUUCCACUGGAAAAGGGGGUUUUGAAAAGAAAAUACAGGGGUUCAAAAUCCGAAGUGGAACCCAAGAGGACAGCAACACCUGGAGUGGAAUAAAACAAUCUCAACCCCUCUCGCCGAGUGUGCCGCUUCUCAAAGUGCACUUCAUUGAUUUGCAGUCAGCUGUCAGAUCGUUUGAUCAGAUUUCAUCUAGUUCAGUGCUGUGCACACCCAGAGGGCCCUUGAUAAAUGCAUGAUACAUCAAAUGAAUGG
RNAcentral lists this long non-coding RNA (794 nucleotides) under Homo sapiens (human). RNAcentral describes it as "HSALNT0346407". Lineage: Eukaryota; Metazoa; Chordata; Mammalia; Primates; Hominidae. The record is from RNAcentral.